RNAcentral lists this ribosomal RNA (253 nucleotides) under Marivirga lumbricoides. Its description in RNAcentral is "partial 16S ribosomal RNA". It matches the Rfam family "Bacterial small subunit ribosomal RNA", at positions 524 to 776 of the family's 1533-position model. Lineage: Bacteria; Pseudomonadati; Bacteroidota; Cytophagia; Cytophagales; Marivirgaceae. The record is from RNAcentral. RNAcentral also lists the same sequence under 1 other name.
UACGGAGGGUGCAAGCGUUGUCCGGAUUUAUUGGGUUUAAAGGGUGCGUAGGCGGCCAAUUAAGUCAGUGGUGAAAUCCUUCCGCUUAACGGGAGAACUGCCAUUGAAACUGGUUGGCUUGAGUACGGUUGAAGUAGGCGGAAUUUAUGGUGUAGCGGUGAAAUGCAUAGAUACCAUAAAGAACACCGAUAGCGUAGGCAGCUUACUAAGCCGUAACUGACGCUGAGGCACGAAAGCAUGGGGAGCGAACAGG